Molecule: ribosomal RNA, 468 nt
Filed under: uncultured bacterium
Lineage: Bacteria
Description: partial 16S ribosomal RNA
Rfam family: Bacterial small subunit ribosomal RNA
Source: RNAcentral
GACGAACGCUGGCGGCGUGCUUAACACAUGCAAGUCGAACGGAAAGGCCCUGCUUUUGUGGGGCGCUCGUGUGGCGAACGGGUGUGUAACACGUGUGUAACCUCCCCCUGACUUUGGGAUAACUUCAGGAAAAUGGGGCUAAUACCGGAUAGGAGCUUCUGCUCCAUGUGGUUGGUUGGAAAGUUUCGGCGGUUGGGGAUGGUCUCGCGGCUUCUCGGCUUGUUGGUGGGGUAGUUGCUUACCAAGGCUGUGACGGGUAGCCGGCCUGGGAGGGUUACCGGCGACAUUGGGCCUGAGAGAGGGCGCAGACUGCUACGGUAGGCAGCAGGGGGGAAUAUUGCACAGUGGGCGGAAGCCUGAGGCAACAACGCCGGGUGCGGGAUGAUGGCCUUCUGGUUGUAAACCGAUUUCGACGGUGACGAAGAGUGAGUGACGGUAAUGAGUAAAGAAGCACCGGCUAACUACGUG